UACCCAACAUUCAAUACAAUCUGUUAUUGCCUCUACAGGUUGCUAAGACGAUUAUGCAGAUCUGAUAUAGGGAAAAACUUCAGCAACUCACCCAGAUUCUGCUAUCCCUACAAGGCUGCAUCCGAAAGACCAAAGAGCUCUUCAUGGUCAACUCUGUGAAAAGGAGACCUGGAAAAGAGUCUUCUUGUUGGGGACCCUGGCCUGAGUUGGAGAAUCCUGGGAAGGAUCUACAAUCUACAACCUGGUGUAGAGAGCUGGCAAGCCUCAGCGGGAUGGCUGUCCCCUGAGAGAUGGGAGAGGAGGAGAAACGGCCCAGCAGGGGCCUGGAGCAGCUGGCUGGCGUCAGUAAUUUCCUGUAGGAGAUUUUGCCGGCCGGGUACGCGUCACCCUGCUGUUGCCCCCCUGUCUUCUCCCAUGCGCUGCUAAAAUAAACUAAAGCGACCCUUGGGCUGUGUUCACGUAAAUGCAGUUAUUUAACCUCAUCUUUGUGGAGCCCAGGUAUAAAACAGCAUCACCUAUUUGGAAUAACAUAGGGAGGAGGUGAGACGGAAAGAUCCCUGAACAGCUGGAAUACACAUUGUAGUUUCUCUUUCCACACAGAAGAGUCUUUGGGGCCCUUGCUCAGAGACCAUUGACUCUUACUUAACACACAGCUCUAAUUAGCUUGGUAGGCUGCUUUCUGACACCCAAGCAGAUUGGAAGUGGGAAUUAAAG
RNAcentral lists this long non-coding RNA (714 nucleotides) under Lynx canadensis (Canada lynx). RNAcentral's name for it is "lncRNA (ENSLCNG00005018036.1)". The record is from RNAcentral. Lineage: Eukaryota; Metazoa; Chordata; Mammalia; Carnivora; Felidae.